This 121-nucleotide small RNA is filed under the name Rahnella variigena. RNAcentral's name for it is "tp2". It matches the Rfam family "tp2", at positions 5 to 100 of the family's 114-position model. The record is from RNAcentral. Lineage: Bacteria; Pseudomonadati; Pseudomonadota; Gammaproteobacteria; Enterobacterales; Yersiniaceae.
UUCCUUAUCUGUAUCUAAUACGUUGGUUUAUCUGGAGCCUGUCUUCCUGCGCUCUUUUAAAACGGUCUUCGUGAUGAGAAAGCGCACGAAGACAGGCCCGUCAUGUAGUUGCCGUGAGCCC